UAAGCAGAACGUGAAAGCACACGGCUCAACCGUGUAAACAUUUUCUGAACUGAUUAACUAGAGGAUGAGAGAGGUUAUUGGAAUUUCUUGUGUAGGAGUGAAAUCCGUAGAUAUAAGAAGGAAUACCGAUGGCGUAGGCAGGUAACUGGCUCGCACCUGACACUAAGGCACGAAAGCGUGGGUAGCAAACGGGAUUAGAUACCCCGGUAGUCCACGCCGUAAACUAUGGAUGCUA
Molecule: ribosomal RNA, 235 nt
Filed under: uncultured Candidatus Saccharibacteria bacterium
Lineage: Bacteria; Candidatus Saccharimonadota
Description: partial 16S ribosomal RNA
Rfam family: Bacterial small subunit ribosomal RNA
Source: RNAcentral